This 904-nucleotide long non-coding RNA is filed under the name Marmota monax (woodchuck). Lineage: Eukaryota; Metazoa; Chordata; Mammalia; Rodentia; Sciuridae. The record is from RNAcentral.
AUAUUCUAUUUAUGAAGGAGAUGAAAGUUUCCGGGAAUUAAGUCCAGUUUCAUUUCAAUAUUGGGUGAAAAUGGUGAUACCAAAGCCUUCUUAAUAGAGAUUUCCUGGACAGAAACAUAUUCCCAAACACCUCUAAUUAUAUCUAUGAACGCUUUUUUUUUAACACCACCAUAUUAUCAGCUGUAAAGCAGAGCAUAUUAGCCAAGUUACAGGAAGCUGUGGAAGUGAAUCUUGGAAUUGCUAUGACCUAUACGUUGUUUGAAUAUGCCAAAGACAAUAAAGAGCAGUUCAUGGAGAAUCAUCAUCCCAUUAAUUCUACAACAUCUAUAAGCAAUAUCACCUCUGUUGAAACUCCUGAUAUAGUUCCAUCAAAUAAGAAAAAAGACAAAAAAAGAACAACUUUCUAAAGCCCAGAAACAUAAACUGGCAGACAAAACAGAUCACAAAGGGGAACUUCCUCCAGGCUGGAACUGGGUUGAUUUCAUGAAGCAUUUAAGCAAAACUGGCUCUAAGGAUGAUGAAUAACACUCGGAAUUUGAGAAAAGGAAAGAACAUCCUUUAAAAAGUAAACUAGGUUCAACAUCUUUCAAUAACUAUUUUCUGGUAUUGAGGUGACUGUUUUAUAAAAUGAAGGGUUUUUUGUACAUUUCUUACAUUAAAAAAUGUUGUCAGUGGAAAGUUCAUGAAAAGAUCUGUUUGUAUUACAUUUUUUCACAAACUUGCCUUAAUAAAAGGUGAAAAUGUUACUGUUUAGUAUACUUUAUGAAGCCUAUUAAGCUUUAUAAAUGGAUAAAUAUGGGAAAUAAUAAUCAGUGUUAAUUUGUAUGAUCUUCUUGUAGGGGCUAUGAGCCCUUUUCAAAUGUCUUCCCAAUACAGCAGAAUUUUACAUAUACAGUUAUUCUGU